CCUACGGGUGGCAGCAGUGGGGAAUAUUGGGCAAUGGGCGCAAGCCUGACCCAGCAACGCCGCGUGAAGGAAGAAGGCUUUCGGGUUGUAAACUUCUUUUGUCAGGGACGAAGCAAGUGACGGUACCUAACGAAUAAGCCACGGCUAACUACGUGCCAGCAGCCGCGGUAAUCCGUAGGUGGCAAGCGUUAUCCGGAUUUACUGGGUGUAAAGGGCGUGUAGGCGGGACUGCAAGUCAGAUGUGAAAACCACGGGCUCAACCUGUGGACUGCAUUUGAAACUGUAGUUCUUGAGUAAUGGAGAGGCAGACGGAAUUCCUAGGGUAGCGGUGAAAUGCGUAGAUAUUAGGAGGAACACCAGUGGCGAAGGCGGUCGGCUGGACAGCAACUGACGCUGAGGCGCGAAAGCGUGGGGAGCAAACAGGAUUAGAUACCCCAGUAGUC
RNAcentral lists this ribosomal RNA (443 nucleotides) under uncultured bacterium. Its description in RNAcentral is "partial 16S ribosomal RNA". It matches the Rfam family "Bacterial small subunit ribosomal RNA", at positions 338 to 795 of the family's 1533-position model. The record is from RNAcentral.